Molecule: transfer RNA, 71 nt
Filed under: Chloroflexota bacterium
Lineage: Bacteria; Bacillati; Chloroflexota
Description: tRNA-Gln
Rfam family: tRNA
About the family: Transfer RNA (tRNA) molecules are approximately 80 nucleotides in length. Their secondary structure includes four short double-helical elements and three loops (D, anti-codon, and T loops). Further hydrogen bonds mediate the characteristic L-shaped molecular structure. tRNAs have two regions of fundamental functional importance: the anti-codon, which is responsible for specific mRNA codon recognition, and the 3' end, to which the tRNAs corresponding amino acid is attached (by aminoacyl-tRNA synthetases). tRNAs cope with the degeneracy of the genetic code in two manners: having more than one tRNA (with a specific anti-codon) for a particular amino acid; and 'wobble' base-pairing, i.e. permitting non-standard base-pairing at the 3rd anti-codon position.
Source: RNAcentral
UCGGGGGUCGUCUAAUGGUAGGACAACAGACUUUGAAUCUGUGUAUCGGGGUUCGAGUCCCUGCCCCCGAA